This 812-nucleotide long non-coding RNA is filed under the name Bemisia tabaci. RNAcentral describes it as "lncRNA ENSASIAIIG001304". The record is from RNAcentral. Lineage: Eukaryota; Metazoa; Arthropoda; Insecta; Hemiptera; Aleyrodidae.
CAGCGAGUGCGGUUGGUGAUAACCGUCAAAAGUUGGCAAUGACCCCCCUCCCAUCCACAAAAACCAAAACAAAGCACCGCCAUUUUUGGGUCCUAAGCCUCUCCAUGGGACCCAGUGGCCAUACUCUCUGUAUAUAGGUACUCUAAUUGUCCAUAAGGAACUGUUGAAUCCCCGAAAGUAAUAUUUUCCACCUGUCGCUAGGAGGCCAGUGGAGGGUCUCUUGUCUCUGACAACGACGCUUCUCUACUUCAAAAAAGAAAACUUUUGUAUCAGUCCGGCAACAGUGAGUCCCUGUUGUUUUUCUUUGCGUCACGACACUAACCUUAAAUUUUUAUCUCACAAAAAAAGUCUAAAAAACCAUGAAAGAUUGAGACUAGAAGUUUGAAACAUUCCCGUGCUGUCUUGUCCCUCAUCCCUUUUCUUUUCCACUCUAUGGGACCUAAUGGUAUUAAUUUAGUUCAUCAAUCUCUCCCUGUCGGUGUCUAAGGUAGUGCCGUAUACCAAAUCUUCAUGCAACACACAAAGUUCCCUCAGUCGUUUGAGAUGAGAUGUCUCUUUUCGCAUAAUCAGGAAUGUCAGAGCUAAUUUUUGGAACUGGCCUUGGAUCUUUCAUUUUAAUUGCUGUUUGGUGCCUGGCUGUUGUCCUUUGCUUCAUUUCAUUACGAACGCAACGGAGUAUUGGUCUGGUGUCUAUCCUGUGCGCUUGUUUCAUCACUUGCAUUCUUUUGUCAAUCCCCCGUGGUAAUUUUCAAGAGAGAAGAGCCCCAAGGAGAUUUAUGAUGGAAUAUUCAUUUGGCGCUCAAGCCUUCUAG